AAUGGUAGCAGUGAUGAUAUUGUUUUAAUCCCAGCUCAUUAUGAGACCUUCCAUCUAAUGAGAGGUCAACGAAUGGAUACCAAAACAUUAUCUGAGCUAAAU
Molecule: small nucleolar RNA, 102 nt
Organism: Elaeis guineensis (African oil palm)
Lineage: Eukaryota; Viridiplantae; Streptophyta; Magnoliopsida; Arecales; Arecaceae
Source: RefSeq, a predicted model, not a curated record